RNAcentral lists this ribosomal RNA (253 nucleotides) under uncultured bacterium. RNAcentral's name for it is "partial 16S ribosomal RNA". It matches the Rfam family "Bacterial small subunit ribosomal RNA", at positions 524 to 776 of the family's 1533-position model. The record is from RNAcentral.
UACAGAGGGUGCAAGCGUUAAUCGGAAUUACUGGGCGUAAAGGGUGCGUAGGUGGUUAGAUAAGUUAGGUGUGAAAGCCCCGGGCUUAACCUGGGAAUUGCGCUUAAUACUGUCUGGCUAGAGUACUGUAGAGGAAGGUGGAAUUUCCGGUGUAGCGGUGAAAUGCGUAGAUAUCGGAAGGAACACCAGUGGCGAAAGCGACCUUCUGGACAGAUACUGACACUGAGGCACGAAAGCAUGGGUAGCAAACAGG